Molecule: ribosomal RNA, 497 nt
Filed under: uncultured bacterium
Lineage: Bacteria
Description: partial 16S ribosomal RNA
Rfam family: Bacterial small subunit ribosomal RNA
Source: RNAcentral
GAUGAACGCUGGCGGCGUGCCUAAUACAUGCAAGUCGAGCGAACAGACGAGGAGCUUGCUCCUCUGACGUUAGCGGCGGACGGGUGAGUAACACGUGGAUAACCUACCUAUAAGACUGGGAUAACUUCGGGAAACCGGAGCUAGUACCGGAUAAUAUAUUGAACCGCAUGGUUCAAUAGUGAAAGACGGUUUUGCUGUCACUUAUAGAUGGAUCCGCGCCGCAUUAGCUAGUUGGUAAGGUAACGGCUUACCAAGGCAACGAUGCGUAGCCGACCUAAGAGGGUGAUCGGCCACACUGGAACUGAGACACGGUCCAGUCUCCUACGGGAGGCAGCAGUAGGGAAUCUUCCGCAAUGGGCGAAAGCUUGACGGAGCAACGCCGCGUGAGUGAUGAAGGUCUUCGGAUCGUAAAACUCUGUUAUUAGGGAAGAACAAAUGUGUAAGUAACUAUGCACGUCUUGACGGUACCUAAUCAGAAAGCCACGGCUAACUACGUG